RNAcentral lists this ribosomal RNA (429 nucleotides) under uncultured bacterium. RNAcentral's name for it is "bacterial SSU rRNA". It matches the Rfam family "Bacterial small subunit ribosomal RNA", at positions 29 to 497 of the family's 1533-position model. The record is from RNAcentral.
AACGAACGCUGGCGGCAUGCCUAACACAUGCAAGUCGAACGAGACCUUCGGGUCUAGUGGCGCACGGGUGCGUAACGCGUGGGAACCUGCCCCUUGGUUCGGGAAUAACAGUUAGAAAUGACUGCUAAUACCGGAUGAUGACUUCGGUCCAAAGAUUUAUCGCCGAGGGAUGGGCCGCGUAGGAUUAGCUAGUUGGUGGGGUAAGUGGCCUACCAAGGCGACGAUCCUUAGCUGGUCUGAGAGGAUGAUCAGCCACACUGGGACUGAGACACGGCCCAGACUCCUACGGGAGGCAGCAGUGGGGAAUAUUGGACAAAUGGGCGAAAAGCCUGAUCCAGCAAUGCCGCGUGAGUGAUGAAGGCCUUAGGGGUUGUAAAGACUCUUUACCCGGGUAUGAUAAUAGACAGUACCGGGAGAAUAAGACUCCGG